UUGGUUCACAUAAGAUAAGAAAUUGAAUCCUUACAAAACAGUUCAACUAAUGAAUAGUCCAGAGCCUCUCAAACUAUUAUCAGUGUCUACUUUAAAAGAUAUAAAAUAACAGUUGUAGUUUCUUCUAAAGUUCUAAUCCAAGGUAACUUAAAAACAGUUUUGAAAAACAUUUAGACCAUCAUGUAUUCUGUAAUACAGUUGGGUCACUGCCGAUUCCCAUGAUAAAUGUGUUUAAACAGAAGCUUUCUCAUUCAUCACUAACCUCAGCUUUCAUCCAAAUUUAUUUAAUGAU
RNAcentral lists this long non-coding RNA (292 nucleotides) under Bos taurus (domestic cattle). RNAcentral describes it as "long non-coding RNA NONBTAT000339". Lineage: Eukaryota; Metazoa; Chordata; Mammalia; Artiodactyla; Bovidae. The record is from RNAcentral.